GUUGAGUUUGAAGAACAAGAAAAACAGUAGAGGUCUACCUAUAUGGUUCAAGAUGAUGAUCAUAAGUGCAUGCAUCAUUUUGCAGAUUCUCAUCCAGGAUGAUGCAGUUUUACAAUUUCCAUGGAGGUGAUUGAUGAUGAUAAACAAUUGGUGAAGUAGGCCUAAUAGAACAGUGAUAGGACCAUGCAAAGAGAAAUACAACCUACAGCAGUUAUAUGAGACUGGUGUAACAGAUGUUUUCAUUCAAGAAACCCAACAAAUUGAAGAGUGACUUAGCUUAGGAAGCACUUGAUAAAGAUGGAAAAGGUUUUUUUUUUCAAGUCCAAUUUUUUUUUUUUUAAUUAUCAUCACAACCCCAAAUUCAUGAAGUAUGAAAUUUCCUGUCGAUUUUCAUUAAAACUGGUUGCAAAAGGAAAAGCUAUAAACAUACAAAUAGGAGCGGCGAAGUGAAGUUGAAAGUGGGGGGGGGGGGGCACAGGGAAAAUGCUGUAUUAUGUGAAAUUUUAAAGAAGUUGCGAGAGAGCAAAAUUUUGACAUUUUUAAAAAGAAAAUCCAAUUUUGUGAUAGAUUUCGACAAAAUAUUCAGAAUGAUAUAUUUCACCCUUUUUUUUGGGGGGGGGGGGGGGCAAGAGUCCUUCAAGCCCCCCCCCCCCUCCAUCUGUAGUGUACGAAACUGCUUAUCUACCCCCACUCACAUGAAUUAUUAAACUUAAUGCACAAAGGAUUUCCUUAUUGUUUUCUUGUUUCAAAGGGCACUCGUCAUUCUUUAGGAGCACUUUUCUUGGAUAAAAGGGGGCAGUUAUUCGAGAAAGGGCACUUACAAGAAGGCGAGGGGGUACUUUUUAACACUUAAAACGGGCCCUCAGAUGAAAGGGCACAGAACACGUUCGGGGGGCAUUUUUGGUAAAAAUUUGCAUACAAGGAAGAGCACUUGGUAACACCUAAAACAGGUUCUCGUCAGGUGAAAGGGACACAGUACACGUUCGUGAGGGGGCAUUUUUCUUACAUAAAAUUAAAGGCACUUUUCAGUGCUUUAAAAAGUAGGGGGAACUGUGCCCCCCAGGAUCGCUGCCCCUGCAUACAAAAAACAUUUUCGUUCGAUUCAAAGUAUUAACAUACGCUUAAGAAAAAAAGUAAGGCUAAAUCCUCUGAUAAUGUGAUAUUUUUUUUGGCUAUUAAUAAAAUUCACAACUAACCAUAAAAUGCCUUCAUGUCUUUCAUUUGUAUAGUAUUUGUACAGAGCUAACAUGAAAGGGAUUUGGAAUUGGCAAAAUUCAAAUGAGAUGGAGAUCGAGAGAGAGAAAGAGUGAUGAGAAGGGGGUUGAAAAGAGAUG
This is a long non-coding RNA of Lytechinus pictus (painted urchin), 1334 nucleotides long. RefSeq lists it as uncharacterized. The transcript is spliced from 3 exons. NCBI's taxonomy places the organism in Eukaryota, Metazoa, Echinodermata, Echinoidea, Temnopleuroida, Toxopneustidae. The record is from RefSeq and is a predicted model, not a curated record.